AAAUCAGCUUUGGAAUAGACUAUAUUUUCACCGGGGCAACAUGAACUAAAUGGAUAUUCACAUCAACACUAAAUUUUGCUCGUGCCUACAGAGCUAUAGUUGGAUUAAGACAGAUGUUAAGAAGUGACAAUGUGAAUUAUACUUUCCGCAUUAAAAUGUUUCAGAAGGUCUGCUAAUGUCAAACUACACGUGCGUGUGACAGAGCUGUGAGUAUAUCCACAUUUCAAUGUUUGACAUAUAGCUUAAAAUUAGGGUAUGCUCAUCACUUGAAACCGUAUCUUUAAAUCAAAAUGAGUUUUAUCUAUAGCCUUUUUAUUAGAAUUAAAAUCAUUCAUGGGAAAAAUGUGCCAAAGGGUUGAAAUUGCCCUUGUAAAUGUACACUAUUUUUGAUAUGUUUUGGUUAGUAUUUUGAAAAUGUGUUCAGGAAGGAAAAUAUGUCGUGAAAAAUACUGGUUGACCCUUAAAUUAUAACUAGUGUUAUGUAAAUCACAGAAAAUUGAAAAAAAAUCUGGUCCAUACACAAUAUUUUGGAUUCUAUGAGGUCCCGAAUGGGGCUUAUUUCAACGUUGAAUCUGUUUACCUGGAAAAACUUAGAAAAUUGAAUAUUAAGUCAAGAAUUUGACUAUGCUCAUCAUCCAAAACCAGGUUUUUCUAAUUGCUUUUUCACCUGGGUUUGUGGCAAUGCCAGUUAUGGGACCACGAAAAAUGCACGCGGCACGUUUUUUGGACACUGAAGAUGGUAACAUUUGAUGUUGUCAUAUAUUGCCAUCCUCUUAUCAUAGUCUGUAAUAUCUAAUAUAUUAUUUUUCAUAGCAUUAUAUGCUAAAUUUAAGUUCUGUUUUUUUAUUUUUAGGUGAUCUAGGAGUAUCUGUUCACUUGAGUGUUGGUAUCAAAUUUUGGACAAGUUUCAAUUAUUAUUUCACUUUCCUUUAUUGAAAUAUCCAAAUAAAUAGAAUAUGACAUCAAGCU
Non-coding RNA from Paramuricea clavata, 969 nucleotides. The record is from the annotation of a GenBank genome assembly. Lineage: Eukaryota; Metazoa; Cnidaria; Anthozoa; Malacalcyonacea; Plexauridae.